UAUUAACAGGUUUUAGUUCAGGGU
RNAcentral lists this non-coding RNA (24 nucleotides) under Arabidopsis thaliana (thale cress). Lineage: Eukaryota; Viridiplantae; Streptophyta; Magnoliopsida; Brassicales; Brassicaceae. The record is from RNAcentral.